GAGAGAGAGAGAGAGAGGGGAAAAGAAAAAAAAACAACUAAAGCAAGAGUGUUUGUUUGGUCCCUGAAAUUAUUCCCAACAAAUUUAAGACCAAGUUGUUACAGAUAUAGACCAAACAAAUGUAAUCAACUGAUUAACAGGAGUGGAUCUAAUUCUCAUCUAAAUUUUUCAUUGCACUAACAGUUGAGUAUAUUUUGAAACCUUUAUUUGUAUUUCUGAGGAAAGUUGUGUUACUUGUGUAUGUCCAGAAACACUAGAAUUUUUCUGAAAUUGAAAUGCAGAGCCCUUUCCAAGAGGGAUGAUGCUCAGAAAACUAUGGUAUUUUGCAGUUUUUGCAGUAAUUUGGACCAUUUGCUUAGAGAAAAAAAUGCUCAGGUCUUUCAAAAUCAGUGUUUAUUUUGCAUCGCUAAAGGAUAAAGCAGCUUUACUGGCCUCACGGGUGUCCACUUCAAGCAGUUUUAAUGGAGUGCCUUUAACUGAUAAUUCAGCAAUUAGAGGCUGCUACUUCAUUAGUUUUACUUUUGCGGUGAACUAUUUUGGUUUCAUCGAGAGGAGGGUAUCUUAUCCUCCAAUUUGAAUCUCUUCUUUCUUCAUUACUUAGAUCUCCACUCAUCCAAAUAAAAAGAUAAGAAGACCACAUGGUGGGCAAGCCUCCAUUACGGAGAUCAAUUAAUCAUACAAAAAAACAAAAAAAAGGUGUCUAUGCAUAUAGUCACUUUGCUUAAUUUCUUUCUUUUCGUUUCUUAAUAAAUUAUUUUCAAUAUGAAACAAAUUGCGUGUGUGUGUGUGUUCGUGAUGUGUAUAUAUUGGUUUUAGCAUGCAUGUGCAUGUGUGUGUCAGUGUGUGCAGUCAAAUAAGUAUGUUUUCCUCCAACCUGUAACGAGGGAACUUAAAAAUCUGCAUCAUGCCAGUAAGAAGAGUCG
This 923-nucleotide unclassified non-coding RNA is filed under the name Hevea brasiliensis (rubber tree). The record is from RNAcentral. Lineage: Eukaryota; Viridiplantae; Streptophyta; Magnoliopsida; Malpighiales; Euphorbiaceae.